Molecule: ribosomal RNA, 490 nt
Filed under: uncultured bacterium
Lineage: Bacteria
Description: bacterial SSU rRNA
Rfam family: Bacterial small subunit ribosomal RNA
Source: RNAcentral
CGAACGCUAGGCGGCGUGCUUAGCACAUGCAAGUCGAACGGAAUCCAUGGUGUAGCAAUUACACCGGAAGAUUUAGUGGCGAACGGGUGAGGAUCACGUGAGAAACGUGCCCCAGACUCUGGGAUAACAAUUGGAAACGAUUGCUAAUACCGGAUGACGUCGGAGAAUCGCAUGAUUCACUGACGAAAGAUAUUUCGGUUUGGGAAGCGUCUCGCGGCCUAUCAGCUUGUUGGUGAGGUUAACGGCUCACCAAGGCUUCGACGGGUAGCUGGUCUGAGAGGACGAUCAGCCGCACUGGCACUGCGACACGGGCCAGACUCCUACGGGAGGCAGCAGUAAGGAAUAUUGCGCAAUGGACGAAAGUCUGACGCAGCCGACGCCGCGUGGGGGAUGAAGGCCUUCGGGUCGUAAACCACUUUUUUUCGGGGACGAUAAUGACGGUACCCGAAGAAUAAGCCACGGCUAACUACGUGCCAGCAGCCGCGGUAAU